RNAcentral lists this unclassified non-coding RNA (425 nucleotides) under soil metagenome. Its description in RNAcentral is "partial contains 5.8S ribosomal RNA, internal transcribed spacer 2, and large subunit ribosomal RNA". The stretch from base 1 to 120 matches the Rfam family "5.8S ribosomal RNA", at positions 35 to 154 of the family's 154-position model. The record is from RNAcentral.
GAUGAAGAACGCAGCGAAAUGCGAUAAGUAGUGUGAAUUGCAGAAUUCCGUGAAUCAUCGAAUCUUUGAACGCACAUUGCGCCUUCUGGUAUUCCGGAAGGCAUGCCUGUUUGAGAGUCAUUAACAACCGUUUCGAUCCCUUUCUUUCAGAAAUUACAAAGAGGAAAAGGGUUUGGUUAUGGUGGAGGAGGGAAAGGGAGCGUUUAGCCUGUAAAAAAAGAGGCUGUGUUCCGCCUCCCCCCCAAAAUUGUACAGGCGGUCGUGUGCGCCCACGCAUCGAGGUGUUGUAAAAGCUGCCACGGCACUUUUCACCUGUGCAGUGCGAGAUUGGCCAGCCGGUUUAAAAACCCCUCCAAACAAUCAAAGGUUGACCUCGGAUCAGGUAGGGAUACCCGCUGAACUUAAGCAUAUCAAUAAGCGGAGGA